GUUUACUGUGUAGAUGACAAUAUGAAGCGGAGCUAUCCAUCUGGCCAUGAAAAGAGAAAAAAGAAACAAAAUGAGAGUGAAAUGCGAGAACAGCACUCAGAUUUGUAGUCAUGUCAGCAUUAGGGGGUGAUGUACGAGAUGCUGUGUUGGCAGUCCUACCCGGGCUACCAGAGGAGAAACUACUCUCUCCUGAACAAGUUAGCAAGCAUAGGAGUUGAGUCCAAAUCUGACCUGCAGAUCUUCCUGAUCACAUCACUUCAAUACAGUGUUGCCGUCUCCUCAAUGCCUGGAAUCUGGAAGUUCUUCAAUUCAGUUCAGAGGAUUCUUCAUCUUUCGAGUCUAGUUCCUCAACCACACCAAGUGUAUCCAGCACAAACGGCUCCAGUUCAACUGUGGAUUUGUCAGUUUGGCCUUAAAACUUUGAAGUGCCAUGGAGUAGGAUGCCAUCUGGUAUUAAAACAGCCAUUGCACUGGGAAAAUGCCCUACAACUAAAGAUCGCAGUGAAUUAGUGAGAAUUGUUAUUAGUGAGAUGAGGCUGACAGAGUUAAAUCCAUCAAAAUCAGUGUCUGAUUGUGGCCAAAAAGAUUGUAAAACAGUAUCCACAAAGUUUUGCUGAUAUCCUGAGAGAUACAGGGUACAGGGAUCGGAACUGGCUAUGAAUCUCUUUUGACUCAACUAAAAACAAGAGUAGAACAUGUUAACCGUGGCUGCUUGCUCUCAAAACGCAGGAAACUUAAAAAGACCUCAAAUUCACCGGCAGAAGACGUUGCUCCAGGAUCUGCUGACCAGUACGGUUGUGUGAGAUGGCAGCCUUAGUGUCCUGUAAAGGAAACUGAGGAUAGUCUUAAAGAUAAACAAAAUGAAAUGAAGGCUCUCUAGUACUGAAGGGGGCCAGCUGGGGUAGAGCAAGCAUAUCUCAGUCAGUUAAUGAAAGCAACAUACUAUCUCCAACGGAAAUCCAUCAAUGCCUGUCCACUACCAUCCAUUGCUGAGUUGAAAAAUGACUGGCCAUACCUUUUCACACCUAAAGAACUGUAUAACCACUUUAGAUCACUUACAAAUAUCAGCAUUCUGUAAAAAGUUGAAACCUCCAUGGAAGAAAAGGGAAAGAUGGUCCUUCAGUUCAUUCAUUCAUUCAUCUUCUACCGCUUAUCCGAACUACCUCGGGUCACGGGGAGCCUGUGCCUAUCUCAGGCGUCAUUGGGCAUCAAGGCAGGAUACACCCUGGACGGAGUGCCAACCCAUCGCAGGUCGGUCCUUCAGUUUUUUCGACAAAAGCCAGCAGGGAGCAACUCGGAUGAGAUGCAGCACAUUAUAAUGGAAUUUGACAAGAGCAUGUGUGAUUCUUCGUCUUCUGUCACACUUUAAAGAGAAAUCUGCAGCACUCAUUCUUCAAGCCGAUGUGUCUGCAACAGCAGCUGAUGUGGAAAAACAUUUGACUCUUCCA
Molecule: long non-coding RNA, 1448 nt
Organism: Tachysurus vachellii
Lineage: Eukaryota; Metazoa; Chordata; Actinopteri; Siluriformes; Bagridae
Exons: 4
Source: RefSeq, a predicted model, not a curated record